AUCACAUAUAUUCAUUAUAUAUGCUAGCAUUUCAUCACAUAUCCCAUCAUAAAUAUAUAUGCUAGCAUUUCAUCACAUAUAGGCUAGCACCUAAGUCGGAAUCACCUAUAGUGACCUAUACGACGUAUUCAUAUCUCAUCACGUAUCUCAUCAAUCAUGGCUGGAAUAUAAGUCAGAGUCACCUCUAGUGACCUAUACGUCAUGUUUGUAUCUCAUCACGCAUCUCAUCAAUCAUGGCUAGCAUAUAAGUCAAAGUCACCUCCAGUGACCUAUACGACAUAUUCAUAUCAGAUCACGUAUCUCAUCAAUCAUGGCUAGCAUAUAAGUCUGAGUCACCUUCAGUGACUUAUACGACAUAGUCGUAUCUCAUCACGUAUCUCAUCAAUCAUGGCUAGUAUAUAAGUUGAAGUCACCUCUAGUGACCUAUAUGACAUAUUCAUAUCUCAUCACAUAUCUCAUCAAUCAUGGCUAGCAUAUAGGUCGGAGUCACCUCUAGUGACCUAUACGACAUAUUCAUAUCUCAUCAUGUAUCUCAUCAAUCAUGGCUAGCAUAUAAGUCGGAGUCACCUCUAGUGAGCUGUACGAUUGAAUCAUAGCUCAUUAAUCAUUGCUAGCACAUAAGCCGGAGUCACCUUUAGUGACCUAUACGGCACUACACUACACACAAGUCGAAACCAUUGAAAAUGUCUGUACGACAAGGUUGGGUGUAAUAUAGUUAUGCUCAAUUCUACGCACAUCAAGAUAGUCAUGCGAUAAAUUGCUAGUCACCUACAAGUCGGAACCACCUAUGGUGGUUUGUACGACAAGACUGUGCACCUAAAUUGGAUCCAAUAUGAGCAUAGGGUGCGGAAGGUGACAUUAUAUACAGGUCUGUGUCAUAUCUCUGGCUAAAUCACAAUCACCCAGGGUGCAGGUUUGUGAGCUCUAAAUGCAUCCAAUACAACAUGUAUGACUCAUAGGCAACCUGUACGACAAUGCCGGAAUUGCCUACUGUAGCAACCUGUACGAUAGUGUCGGAGUUGCUAAAAGUGUAAAUGUAGUCAUAUCAUAACCCCAUCAAUUCAACUAAUAUCGUAUACUUAAUUGAACUUACCUAAACUUACCUAAAUGUCAUGCGUUCACCUUUGCACUUCAGAGCUUU
This 1141-nucleotide long non-coding RNA is filed under the name Malus domestica (apple). RNAcentral's name for it is "long non-coding RNA (MDOM_LNC006060)". Lineage: Eukaryota; Viridiplantae; Streptophyta; Magnoliopsida; Rosales; Rosaceae. The record is from RNAcentral.